Andrographis paniculata is the source of this 1215-nucleotide long non-coding RNA. RefSeq lists it as uncharacterized. The record is from RefSeq and is a predicted model, not a curated record. Lineage: Eukaryota; Viridiplantae; Streptophyta; Magnoliopsida; Lamiales; Acanthaceae. The transcript is spliced from 3 exons.
CUUCUGACGAAAAAUUCCUUUCCUACCGUUGCCGCCGUCGCUGUCUUCUCAGUCGUAUUCGUAUUUGUCUGCUCCGGUCUUCGACGUCGUUCUCCAAGAUAGAGAAGCUUCUACAGUUUCGGCGGAGGCUUUGUCUAUUACACACAAUGUGAUCCUCGGGUAGUAAAGGCGCAGCCGAGUCUCGGUGCUGCACAGCCAUGGCUUCUGUUCUCAACCCAUCGGCUUCCACCGGGUAAACCAGAUCAAAAUAUUAAUACAUGGUGGCGCCAAAAAGGUAUGUGAUGAAGGUAUAGGAAUUCAUGUCGACAAGGAAAUUGUGAAGAAAGGUCUCGAGAAUGACACCAAGGUUUUGGCUAUAGUAAACACCAAGAACAACAAUGGUGUCAAACUUGUCUCAAAGAUGCGACGACAACAAUGCUUCGGCUACUGGCUUCGCCUACUUGUGCUGUCAAACAUAUCAUAUGAGAGAAUGAUGGAUAUUUCCGAGUAUUAAAGGUGCGUUUCUUUGGGGUUUGGUUGAAAAAUUUUAGUUCAAAUUUGAAUUAGAUUUGAAUUUGAGAAACUUUUGAGAGUUUUUCAUGAAUAGUGAGAUGGAUAGACAGGGUGUGUUUGUUUGGGGGUUUGGAUUUUGAAUUGAGAUUUGAAUAGUAAAAAUUUUGAAUUUGAAUUGUUGUAUGAUGCGAUAUAAAUAGGUGUUGAUGUGAUGUUUUUAAUGUAAAAUUGAUUUUUAAUAUAAUAUAAAAAAUGAAAAAUAAGUGUUUGAUUUGAUAUUUUUGAAAAAAAUAAAAUGAAUAAUGUAUUUAAAAUCCAAUUCCCGUACAAACACACCCUAAGGAUAUUGAGUCUAUUAACUUGUGAGUUAUUUUAUUUAUCUUAUUUUAAAAUGAAGGAAAUGAAUAAAUAGAUUUUAUGAUUAAAAAAAAUAUGAAAAAGAAAAAGGAUACUAUUAGACGCGGUAUAUACACAUUACAUUAGAAAUUUGAAAGUAGAGAUGGCAUUUUUGGGCCUAAUGGGCUCUUUCGUGUCCGACAGGCCCAGGCUGGAUUUUAAUUGGUCUGAAAACUCAAGACCAAGUACAGUUAGUCCGGGCCCAGCUGAAUUCUUUUAAUAUUUAAUUUUAGUUUAUUAAAGUUUUGUUUCAUUUUUAUAUAGUUAUAUUUUAUGAAUUUUUUAUUAAAAAAAUUAAAAGAUUAUUUUUAUUGAUUGUCUUCUAUG